RNAcentral lists this ribosomal RNA (253 nucleotides) under uncultured bacterium. RNAcentral's name for it is "partial 16S ribosomal RNA". It matches the Rfam family "Bacterial small subunit ribosomal RNA", at positions 524 to 776 of the family's 1533-position model. The record is from RNAcentral.
UACGGAGGGUGCAAACGUUGUUCGGAAUCACUGGGCUUAAAGGGCGCGUAGGCGGGUGCUCAAGUCCGUGGUGAAAUCCUCCGGCUCAACCGGAGAACUGCCUCGGAUACUGGGCGUCUCGAGUGUGGUAGGGGUAUGCGGAACUAUCGGUGGAGCGGUGAAAUGCGUUGAUAUCGAUAGGAACUCCGGUGGCGAAGGCGGCAUACUGGACCACCACUGACGCUGAUGCGCGAAAGCCAGGGGAGCAAACGGG